Molecule: ribosomal RNA, 392 nt
Filed under: uncultured bacterium
Lineage: Bacteria
Description: bacterial SSU rRNA
Rfam family: Bacterial small subunit ribosomal RNA
Source: RNAcentral
GAUUAACGCUGGCGGCGUGCAUGAAACAUGCAAGUCGAGCGCGGCACCUUCGGGUGUCUAGCGGCGCACGGGUGAGUAACACGUGAGCAACCUACCUCCGAGUUCGGGAUAGCCCUGAGAAAUCAGGAUUAAUACCGGAUGGUGUCAUCUCGAGGCAUCUCAAGAUGAACAAAGGCGCAAGCCGCUCGAUGACGGGCUCGCGGCCUAUUAGCUGUUGGUGGGGUCACGGCCUACCAAGGCGAAGAUGGGUAGCUGGUCUGAGAGGACGAUCAGCCACACUGGGACUGAGACACGGCCCAGACUCCUACGGGAGGCAGCAGUUAGGAAUUUUCCACAAUGGGCGAAAGCCUGAUGGAGCAACGCCGCGUGUGUGAUGAAGGCCUGGUUGUAAG